Molecule: ribosomal RNA, 604 nt
Filed under: uncultured fungus
Lineage: Eukaryota; Fungi
Description: eukaryotic LSU rRNA
Rfam family: Eukaryotic large subunit ribosomal RNA
Source: RNAcentral
ACCCGCUGAACUUAAGCAUAUCAAUAAGCGGAGGAAAAGAAACUAACAAGGAUUCCCCUAGUAACGGCGAGUGAAGCGGGAAGAGCUCAAAUUUAAAAUCUGGCAGUGUAUUCUGUCCGAGUUGUAGUCUAGAGAAGCAUCAUCCGUGCUGGACCAUGUACAAGUCUCUUGGAACAGGACGUCACAGAGGGUGAGAAUCCCGUACGUGGUCGCUAGCCUUUACCGUGUAAAGCCCCUUCGACGAGUCGAGUUGUUUGGGAAUGCAGCUCUAAAUGGGAGGUAAAUUUCUUCUAAAGCUAAAUACUGGCCAGAGACCGAUAGCGCACAAGUAGAGUGAUCGAAAGAUGAAAAGCACUUUGGAAAGAGAGUUAAAAAGCACGUGAAAUUGUUGAAAGGGAAGCGCUUGCAGCCAGACUUGCCUGUAGUUGCUCAUCCGGGUUUUUACCCGGUGCACUCUUCUAUAGGCAGGCCAGCAUCAGUUUGGGCGGUUGGAUAAAGGUCUCUGUCAUGUACCUCUCUUCGGGGAGAACUUAUAGGGGAGACGACAUGCAACCAGCCCGGACUGAGGUCCGCGCAUCUGCUAGGAUGCUGGCGUAAUGGCUGU